RNAcentral lists this ribosomal RNA (468 nucleotides) under uncultured bacterium. RNAcentral's name for it is "partial 16S ribosomal RNA". It matches the Rfam family "Bacterial small subunit ribosomal RNA", at positions 28 to 507 of the family's 1533-position model. The record is from RNAcentral.
GACGAACGCUGGCGGCGUGCUUAACACAUGCAAGUCGAACGGAAAGGCCCUGCUUUUGUGGGGUGCUCGAGUGGCGAACGGGUGAGUAACACGUGAGUAACCUGCCCUUGACUUUGGGAUAACUUCAGGAAACUGGGGCUAAUACCGGAUAGGAGCUCCUGCUGCAUGGUGGGGGUUGGAAAGUUUCGGCGGUUGGGGAUGGACUCGCGGCUUAUCAGCUUGUUGGUGGGGUAGUGGCUUACCAAGGCUUUGACGGGUAGCCGGCCUGAGAGGGUGAACGGCCACAUGGGGACUGAGAGACGGACCAGACUCCUACGGGAGGCAGCAGUGGGGAAUAUGGCACAAUGGGCGGAAGCCUGAUGCAGCAACGCCGCGUGCGGGAUGAAGGCCUUCGGGUUGUAAACCGCUUUCGCCUGUGACGAAGCGUGAGUGACGGUAGCGGGUAAAGAAGCACCGGCUAACUACGUG